GGGCGGUUAGCUCAACGGUAGAGCGCCUGCCUUACAAGCAGGAUGUUGCGGGUUCGAAUCCCUCACUGCCCA
This 72-nucleotide transfer RNA is filed under the name Leptolyngbyaceae cyanobacterium CSU_1_3. RNAcentral describes it as "tRNA-Val". It matches the Rfam family "tRNA". Rfam says of the family: Transfer RNA (tRNA) molecules are approximately 80 nucleotides in length. Their secondary structure includes four short double-helical elements and three loops (D, anti-codon, and T loops). Further hydrogen bonds mediate the characteristic L-shaped molecular structure. tRNAs have two regions of fundamental functional importance: the anti-codon, which is responsible for specific mRNA codon recognition, and the 3' end, to which the tRNAs corresponding amino acid is attached (by aminoacyl-tRNA synthetases). tRNAs cope with the degeneracy of the genetic code in two manners: having more than one tRNA (with a specific anti-codon) for a particular amino acid; and 'wobble' base-pairing, i.e. permitting non-standard base-pairing at the 3rd anti-codon position. Lineage: Bacteria; Bacillati; Cyanobacteriota; Cyanophyceae; Leptolyngbyales; Leptolyngbyaceae. The record is from RNAcentral.